This 402-nucleotide ribosomal RNA is filed under the name uncultured bacterium. RNAcentral describes it as "bacterial SSU rRNA". It matches the Rfam family "Bacterial small subunit ribosomal RNA", at positions 355 to 774 of the family's 1533-position model. The record is from RNAcentral.
UAGGGAAUAUUAGAAAUGGACGAAAGCCUGAUCUAGCAACACCGCGUGUGCGAAGAAGGCCUUCGGGUUGUAAAGCACUUUUUGGAAGGAUUAGGAAGGAAUGUACUUCCAGAAUAAGUCUCGGCUAACUACGUGCCAGCAGCCGCGGUAACACGUAGGAGGCAAACGUUAUCCGGAUUUACUGGGCGUAAAGCGCGUGUAGGUGGUUCUGUAAGUAGGGCGUGAAAGCUCCUGGCUCAACGGGGAGAGGCCGUUCUAAACUGCAGAGCUAGAGGAUGGUAGAGGGAGGUGGAAUUCCGUGCGUAGCGGUGGAAUGCGCAGAUAUCCGGAGGAACACCAGUGGCGAAAGCGGCCUCCUGGACCAUUCCUGACACUCAGACGCGAAAGCUAGGGUAGCAAACG